CAGCCGCGGUAAUUCCAGCUCCAAUAGCGUAUAUUAAAGUUGCUGCAGUUAAAAGCUCGUAGUUGAAUUUCGGGACCAUCAUGUCGGUCGUGCCUCGGUACGUACUGGCAUUGUUGGUUUCCCCCUUCUGAAGAACCAUGAUGUCAUUAAUUUGGUGUCUUGGGGAAUCAGGACUGUUACUUUGAAAAAAUUAGAGUGUUUAAAGCAGGCUCGCGCUUGAAUACAUUGGCAUGGAAUAAUGAAAUAGGACGUUUGAUUCUAUUUUAGUUGGUUUCUAGGGAUCGACGUAAUGAUUAAUAGGGAUAGUUGGGGGCAUUAGUAUUCAAUUGUCAGAGGUGAAAUUCUUGGAUUUAUUGAAGACUAACUACUGCGAAAGCAUUUGCCAAGGAUGUUUUCAUUAAUCAAGAACGAAAGUUAGGGGAUCGAAGACGAUCAGAUACCGUCGUAGUCUUAACCAUAAACUAUGCCGACUAGGGAUCGGAUGAUGUUAAUUUUUAAUGACUCAUUCGGCGCCUUACG
This 519-nucleotide ribosomal RNA is filed under the name uncultured Glomus. RNAcentral's name for it is "SSU rRNA". It matches the Rfam family "Eukaryotic small subunit ribosomal RNA", at positions 571 to 1092 of the family's 1831-position model. The record is from RNAcentral. Lineage: Eukaryota; Fungi; Glomeromycota; Glomeromycetes; Glomerales; Glomeraceae.